RNAcentral lists this unclassified non-coding RNA (330 nucleotides) under soil metagenome. Its description in RNAcentral is "partial contains 5.8S ribosomal RNA, internal transcribed spacer 2, and large subunit ribosomal RNA". The stretch from base 1 to 120 matches the Rfam family "5.8S ribosomal RNA", at positions 35 to 154 of the family's 154-position model. The record is from RNAcentral.
GAUGAAGAACGCAGCGAAAUGCGAUAAGUAAUGUGAAUUGCAGAAUUCAGUGAAUCAUCGAAUCUUUGAACGCACAUUGCGCCCCCUGGUAUUCCGGGGGGCAUGCCUGUUCGAGCGUCAUUUCACCACUCAAGCCUCGCUUGGUAUUGGGCAACGCGGUCCGCCGCGUGCCUCAAAUCGACCGGCUGGGUCUUCUGUCCCCUAAGCGUUGUGGAAACUUUCGCUAAAGGGUGUUCGGGAGGCUACGCCGUAAAACAACCCCAUUUCUACGGUUGACCUCGGAUCAGGUAGGGAUACCCGCUGAACUUAAGCAUAUCAAUAAGCGGAGGA